ACUCAAAUGGAAUUUCCAGAUGGUUGCCUUCUCUAAGGGUCCCUCACUCCCAGAGGCCUGUGCUCAUAAAAGUCAAGUCCAUUCUUCCUGGAGUACAAAGUCACAACAUAGGAGGUCUCGGCUGCUUGUUGGUUGGGGCAGCUGGGUGUGAUGUUUCAGGAGAUUAUUACAAAUUCCCUGGCACUGUCCACAUUGAAUGGAGGUUGAGAUCUAUCAACUGGACCAACCAGGCUCCUUUCCUUUCUGAAGUGCAGAGGGUGCCAGAGGAGAUAGAG
Molecule: long non-coding RNA, 275 nt
Organism: Balaenoptera ricei (Rice's whale)
Lineage: Eukaryota; Metazoa; Chordata; Mammalia; Artiodactyla; Balaenopteridae
Exons: 3
Source: RefSeq, a predicted model, not a curated record